Molecule: ribosomal RNA, 253 nt
Filed under: uncultured bacterium
Lineage: Bacteria
Description: partial 16S ribosomal RNA
Rfam family: Bacterial small subunit ribosomal RNA
Source: RNAcentral
UACGUAGGGUGCGAGCGUUGUCCGGAAUUAUUGGGCGUAAAGAGCUCGUAGGCGGUUUGUCACGUCUGCUGUGAAAUCCCGAGGCUCAACCUCGGGCCUGCAGUGGGUACGGGCAGACUGGAGUGCGGUAGGGGAGAUUGGAAUUCCUGGUGUAGCGGUGGAAUGCGCAGAUAUCAGGAGGAACACCGAUGGCGAAGGCAGAUCUCUGGGCCACUACUGACGCUGAGAAGCGAAAGCAUGGGGAGCGAACAGG